This 440-nucleotide ribosomal RNA is filed under the name uncultured bacterium. Its description in RNAcentral is "partial 16S ribosomal RNA". It matches the Rfam family "Bacterial small subunit ribosomal RNA", at positions 338 to 795 of the family's 1533-position model. The record is from RNAcentral.
CCUACGGGAGGCUGCAGUGGGGGAUAUUGCACAAUGGGGGGAACCCUGAUGCAGCGACGCCGCGUGGGUGAAGGAGCGUUUCGGCGCGUAAAGCCCUAUCGGCAGGGAAGAAGAUGACGGUACCUGCCCAAGAAGCCCCGGCUAACUACGUGCCAGCAGCCGCGGUAAUACGUAGGGGGCAAGCGUUAUCCGGAUUUACUGGGUGUAAAGGGGGCGCAGACGGCAAUGCAAGACAGGAGUGAAAGCCCGGGGCCCAACACCGGGACUGCUUUUGGAAAUGUUGAACUGGAGUUCAGGAGAGGUAAGCGGAAGUCCUAGUGUAGCGGUGAAAUGCGUAGAUAUUAGGAGGAACACCAGUGGCGAAGGCGGCUUACGGGACUGUAACUGACGUUGAGGCUCGAAAGCGUGGGGAGCAAACAGGAUUAGAUACCCUAGUAGUC